Molecule: long non-coding RNA, 1008 nt
Organism: Homo sapiens (human)
Lineage: Eukaryota; Metazoa; Chordata; Mammalia; Primates; Hominidae
Source: Ensembl
AUGCCAGGGUCAGCUCUUGUGAGCUGGUACCUGUUGGCUCCCGUACACCGCUAGCCAGCAGUCAGAACAGACACAACGAGAACACACUUGGAGGAGAGGAGGAGUUGGAACUCAGAUGAGGAGGUUAGGGGUCUACAGUCCUACAGAGCUGUAAUACAGCCUACGGAAACGAGUUUGAAAAUGGAAAACUAUGCUGAAUAAACUGCUUAUGACCCAACAUCAUUCCAAAGCAGAGUUGAGACUAUGGUAUAGCCGUGCACAGUGUAAGGCAUGAAGGUUGGACGAGGAUCCAGGUGAGUUAGGUAAUGGAAGAGGGAUGUGACAAAGCGUGCAGAACCGAAAGCCUCAGGAUGAGAUGAAGAAGGAGUGAAGGAAGCCUGGGAAUUAUAUUAAAGAAAACUAGAGGAAAACCACCUUUCAGGUAGAGGGUCAAGAAGGCCCAGGACUAAGAAGAGCCUGAAAGGUCUCCAGGGAAUGUGACACUGGUGCAAAAGGGAAAUGGAGUAAUAAUAAGUGGCUGAUAAAUCAGAUUAAACUUUGCUGGUAUUUGCUAUCUGUAGAUAGCUUAUGUUCCUGAAGUUCCUUUCCUGAGUAGCAGAGUUUAAUGGUGUCUCUUAACUGUCAGUAUUCUGUGUGAGCAUUGAGAGUUGAAAGAUAGAAUUACAGUGACACAAGGUGGGGAAUUUAUUAUUCAAAGAAAAACCAGAUUGAAGUGGGAUGUUGUGGUUGUAGAUGCCCUGUCUAUGAAGGACAAAUCUCCCUUUUCAUUCUGGAGUGCAGUAGCCAAAAUCUGUGCCAUUACAUGAGUGAGCCCUUUACUACAACAACCUUAUGAGAUAAGGUCUCCUAUUCUUCCCAUUUUAAAUUACAGAGAAGGAAAGUUUACCCUGCUAAGAAAUGGCAGAAUUAGGAUUUGAACCUCAUAUACCCUUUAGAACCUGAACCUAUAUUAUUAGGGCAAACCAUAUAAAAUUUUCUGGGUUUUUUAGUAUUUUAUAUUGGAUGUCG